UGUAUGUAUGUGUGCAUGGACAUAUGUGUGUGCAUGUGUGUACACACAUGUAUGUAUGCAC
RNAcentral lists this microRNA precursor (61 nucleotides) under Notamacropus eugenii (tammar wallaby). Its description in RNAcentral is "miRNA (ENSMEUG00000017829.1)". Lineage: Eukaryota; Metazoa; Chordata; Mammalia; Diprotodontia; Macropodidae. The record is from RNAcentral.